ACAUUGAGCAAAGCGCUUCGACUGAUAAUCAAAUGAAAUGAUUUAAAAGUGGUACGACAAUAGUAUUUUGACGAAUGUGUUUAUUGUUUGCAGUUGCAACUUGUUAUUACGAUUAAGGUGUUUAUUUUCUUUGCUACAGUUACGAUCUUAAUGCUGAAAUGUACUUCAGUUAAAAUGUUUCGACUUGUGUUUUGACUAAAAUGUUCGGACUAAUUUGUUUGACUACUUGAGUUUAAAUCACUCGUGUUUUGAUUAAAGUGGUCGGACUAAUAAUUUGUUGCCUUAUUAAGUACUAUAACAUGUUAUGAAAGUGGACUUGGAAGUGACUAGCGUUACAUUUCUUCCAAAGGGUGUUUAUCAUAUUUCUAAGCCUUCCACUAAGUUUCGUUUAGUAGGAAAAUAAUGUUUUCCCCUAAAUGAAUAUUGAUUUUGUGUUUACCAAGUGGUACGAUUAGGUAUUCAAAUGUUACGAGUAAAAAGAAUAAGUGCCUGAGUUAAAAAAAUUUUAAAUGUGUCGCCCCUAAAUGGAUAUUGACUAAGUGUUUACUAAGUGGUUCGACUAAUUGUUAACUAAAGUGAAUUUGUUCAAUUGAUUUAGUGUAAAUUGUAAAGUGCGUUUUUAGACGCAAGGUAAUGACUAAUUGUUACUAAAGUGAUUUGGUUGAAUAUAUAUAGUGUUUUACCAAGUAUGUUUUUCUUAGGCGUGAGUUCUUUAUGACUAAGUGUUUUUUUUUUUUGGCGUGUGACUAAGUGUUUUUAGGCGUGUGUCUAUGACUAAGUGUUUUUAGGCGUGUGACUAUGACUAAGUAUUUUUAGGCGUGUGACUAUGACUAAGUGCUUCGGUUUAUUUUUGACAAAGAGUUAAAGUUGUGCCUAAGAAGAGUGUUUUUUAUUUAUUUGGCCUUUUUGAUGAUACGUGUUUCGACAAAAUAUUUUAAAUUUUUAACUAACAUGCUUAGAGUGUGGGUUUUAUAUACACUAACAUGUUCAAAUAAGUGUUUAAAAGUG
This 1008-nucleotide unclassified non-coding RNA is filed under the name Arabidopsis thaliana (thale cress). Lineage: Eukaryota; Viridiplantae; Streptophyta; Magnoliopsida; Brassicales; Brassicaceae. The record is from RNAcentral.